CCGGAUCCCGUCAGCCCCUGCGCGGCAUUACCUAUAAAAGGCGGCACCGGGCGGUGUGCGCUCUCUUUCAGGCGCUGGCUGCUGCUGUGAAAGGUUCUGCACUUGGAUGGACUGACAAGUAAUUCCAAUACCGUACCGAAUGGGGCAGUUGAUUAACACCCGUUUUGAUCUUUGACGCCAAGACUUGCCCAUGUGUAUCCAGUGGGCACACUUCCUAGAGCAUGUGGACUAGAAGGAGACGUCUUAGUCCUUACAGUUGCUCUGUUUGGUCUGGAUCUGUCAAGCUGCUCAUCACCUGGCUGCGAAGGUAUUGGUGAUUGUGCGCAGAAGAAUCUGAUACCUAGAUUAUUCCAAAGGCCUAAGUAAUGGAAGAUUUUUGACUCUAGAUGUGAACAAAUCUUUGGAUGUUGACUCUAAACCUCAGGUAUUUGGGUGAGCAGCCAUGUUCAAGAACAGGACUAAUGGAAGAUUCCUGUGACUCGAGAUGUAAAGUUUUCGGCUUUGGACCAAUCUUGCAUGCAAGGGUCAGAACUGUUAUGGCAUAGGUCUGCCAGACAGCAUGGAAACAGUUUGGUCUCUCCCUCCCCUGGCCUUCAGUUCAACUAGUUCACUGCUUCUGUUUCUAAACUAAACUAAGCCUGCUACUUGAAUCUCAAGCUGUAGGAUCCAGGAUCAUUGCAGCACCCAGAGAGUUGCACCAACUGGAAGUUCAGGAUGUUGAGUAGAUUUGGUAUUCAAAGUGACUCGGUUGAAGAAAUGGCUUCUGCAGAUGGAUAUAAAGACUACCAUUUAAAGGAAAUUCUGAACUUUGAAAAGGUGAAAGGAUGCAAUCAACAUUGGACCAAUUCUUUGUUUAUUUGUAAUCUGCAAAAUCAAAUAAAGUGGAAAUGAAGAUUCA
This is a long non-coding RNA of Chiloscyllium plagiosum (whitespotted bambooshark), 898 nucleotides long. RefSeq lists it as uncharacterized. NCBI's taxonomy places the organism in Eukaryota, Metazoa, Chordata, Chondrichthyes, Orectolobiformes, Hemiscylliidae. The record is from RefSeq and is a predicted model, not a curated record.